UUGAGACUUGAACAGGUUGUAGCUGGCUCUGAACGGAGCAUGUGCACGCCUGGCUCAUCCACUCUUUAACCUUUGUGCACUCUUUGCAAGAGCUUGGUAAACAUUGGUCUUUCAUGGCUGGUGAUAUCCUCUCUCUUGUGUUUUUAUCACAAACAUGUCAUGUUGUAGAAUGGUCUUUAUGCAGAUAAUGCAUGUUGAAUAAA
Molecule: unclassified non-coding RNA, 203 nt
Filed under: uncultured fungus
Lineage: Eukaryota; Fungi
Description: sequence contains ITS1, 5.8S rRNA gene
Source: RNAcentral